This 1629-nucleotide long non-coding RNA is filed under the name Oncorhynchus mykiss (rainbow trout). Its description in RNAcentral is "lncRNA (ENSOMYG00000067334.1)". Lineage: Eukaryota; Metazoa; Chordata; Actinopteri; Salmoniformes; Salmonidae. The record is from RNAcentral.
AGUCAUUUUAUAUUUACGUAUCUUUACUUUUACUCAAGUAUGACAAUUGGAUACUUUUUCCACCACUAGACACGCACAUACACAAGCACACACACAUACACACAGAGAGCACUCUUCUGGGGAAAACACAUUUGUUUGAGUCAUUGAAGACACUUGACCGUGCAGACCUGGGAUGUCACUGAGAUAAACACUGGUUAGGGAACACUAAUGGAACAGAGCGAGCGAGAGAGCGAGAGAGAGAGAGAGAGAGAGAGAGAGAGAUAAUACCCACAACCAACCGACCAAAAUCUUUGGGGAGUUACAACAAAAACAACACCCACGUUACCAAGGUCAUAGAUUUAGUCUCUGUGUCACGGACGUCGUCGUGGAAAUGACCAGACCAAGGUGCAGGGUGGUGAGAGUACAUUUUCCUUUAUUUAUGUAAAUGUCGCCAACAAAAAAAGAAACAAAGAAACGACAUUGAAGCUUACUAGGGCCAUAGUGCCACUAACAAAGAUAACUACCCACAAAAUACAAAGGAAAAUGGCUGCCUAAGUAUGAUUCUCCAUCAGAGACAACGAUAGACAGCUGUCCCUGAUUGAGAACCAUACCCGGCCAAAACAUAGAAACAGAAAACAUAGAAAUAAAGGAACUAGAAUGCCCACCCUAGUAACACCCUGGCCUACCCAAAAUAGAGAAUAAAAGCAUCUCUAUGGCCAGGGCGUGACACUCUGACAGAAGUCAGCAUCCACUGCCUCCACUCAGCCAUACACUGAUGCUACCAUACAGUAUCAUAUACACACACAUGCUGGCAGGAAACAUAUGGCUAUGUGCUGACUUGGUUAUUGUACACAUUCCCUCCCCCAUCGUGUUCGUUUACUGUAUGUUGCUUUUAUGUCUGUCUCUUCCUGGAGGGAGAGGACACAUCUGGGUAUGUCUGUCUGUCUCUUUCUGGUGGGAGAGGACACAUCUGGGUAUGUCUGUCUGUCUCUUCCUGGUGGGAGAGGACACAUCUGGGCAUGUCUGUCUGUCUCUUCCUGGUGGGAGAGGACACAUCUGGGCAUGUCUGUCUGUCUGUCUCUUCCUGGUGGGAGAGGACACAUCUGGGCAUGUCUGCCUGUCUCUUCCUGGAGGGAGAGGACACAUCUGGGCAUGUAUGUCUGUCUCUUCCUGGUGGGAGAGGACACAUCUGGGCAUGUCAAAGAUUAAACAAUUCACACUAUUGGCUGAUAUUUAUCAGUACACAGGUUUAACACAUGCCAAACAAUAACAAUUUUCAUGUAUUGAUUCUUCUGGCAAUUUUUGGACAUGAGGUAACAGUUUUCCACAUCUGAUAAAGUCCUGUCCUAUUUUAUUCUAGAAAAUGAGUAAAUCCUGACAAGGUAACAAAAUGGUGGGAUGUUGCCAUUGAAACACACACACACACACACACCAUCCCUACUGAUUGUGUUGUGUGAAGUGGAGGGCCUCGGCCUGCUAAUGAUCAAUCCAGAAGGUCUUUAAUUAUUUACUGUUCUGUUGGCAGGAGAACAAGAAAACCAGGAGUUUGUGUUUGUUUGUGUGUGUGUGUGUGUGUGUGUGUGUGUGUGUGUGUGUGUGUGUGUGUGUGUGUGUGUGUGUGUGUGUGUGUGUGUGCGCGCUUGUGCGCAU